AGGACGAACGCUGGCGGCGUGCUUAACACAUGCAAGUCGAGCGGAAAGGCCCUUCGGGGUACUCGAGCGGCGAACGGGUGAGUAACACGUGAGCAACCUGCCCUUAGCUCCGGGAUAGCUCCGGGAAACCGGAAUUAAUACCGGAUACGACCACGGCCGACAUCUGCUGUGGUGGAAAGGAUUCCGGCUAAGGAUGGGCUCGCGGCCUAUCAGCUAGUUGGUGGGGUAAUGGCCCACCAAGGCGACGACGGGUAG
This 255-nucleotide ribosomal RNA is filed under the name uncultured bacterium. RNAcentral's name for it is "partial small subunit ribosomal RNA". It matches the Rfam family "Bacterial small subunit ribosomal RNA", at positions 26 to 286 of the family's 1533-position model. The record is from RNAcentral.